GGAUCGGGUGGGCAUUCGCUCACAGUCGGUGUGGAGUUGCCGUCGGAUGGAGGUGAUGAGAGUGAAAACAGCGUCUGUGGCCGAGCUGACGAGAUGGCACCGGUGAAUCCUGCAGUUUCACAGGGAACAAUUUGUGUAUGCAUCAUGCCUCCUGAACUCCAUGAAGAUUGUUUCCAUCAGAUGCUGUCACGUCCAGGUUUGAACUGGAGACUUCACCCUCCUGUGAGGACCGAUGUGGUGGUAACGUAGUGAAGCAGGUCCUCUCUGUUUAUGUUCCAGCUUAUUACACUUCCUGAUGUGCUCUGUGUGCAACAUAACCAGAGCUGCCUUUGCCCUGUGGACAGUGGACUCAUUCUGCCACUGUCCUGUGUCGUUAUGUCCCUGUGCUGUGCGUCCUGACCUCCGUGGCGUGAGUGACGUCCCUGGCUCU
Molecule: long non-coding RNA, 430 nt
Organism: Hippoglossus stenolepis (Pacific halibut)
Lineage: Eukaryota; Metazoa; Chordata; Actinopteri; Pleuronectiformes; Pleuronectidae
Exons: 3
Source: RefSeq, a predicted model, not a curated record